AGCAAACGAGUAGAUUAUACAAUUGAUGAGAAAUGAUAAACUUUAUGUCUUGACAUAUCAAAAGAGCCAUAUUCAUCAUAAAUAAAUGAUUUCAACAAUUUUGAAAUAACUUCUCUUUCCGCUCAUUUCUGCGUGCCUUUUUGUUCGCUGGCGCUCGCAUACCGACAGAUGACAUCACAGAAGACGUUUUUAUUUAUUGCCCUGUGUGAAGUGGCUCAAAUCUAGUAAAACUAGUCAAACUACAAUGUUUUCCCCUUCGACAAUAAGGUAAAAAGCGUGUGUCAAGUAAAAUAUUCUCACCGGGGAAACAUUGUGCAUUUUAGUUUUAUCUUUAUUUUGCAUUUCUUUAAAUGUCAGUCGCUUAAGAAAUAGUUUUAGUGUUCUGUUAUCGAAACGAGUUUGCGUGUGUUAUUUCGUAGAGACGAAAUCGAUCUGUUGCGAUCCAAACAAAUGCUCCACUUUCCCACAACUCUGGUAAAAGAUAUGCGGCGUCACCAUUUGCGGCAUUCGAUGAUGGAAUUGAAUUUGUCAGCCCUUUUGUUUCGGAUUUUGAAUAGUUUUCCUCUAUCCCAUUUGUUCACGUUUCUAGUUUGCAAUAAAUGAACAAUACCUUAA
Long non-coding RNA from Anopheles funestus (African malaria mosquito), 615 nucleotides. RefSeq lists it as uncharacterized. The transcript is spliced from 2 exons. The record is from RefSeq and is a predicted model, not a curated record. NCBI's taxonomy places the organism in Eukaryota, Metazoa, Arthropoda, Insecta, Diptera, Culicidae.